UACGUAGGUGGCGAGCGUUGUCCGGAUUUACUGGGCGUAAAGAGCGCGCAGGCGGCUGGUCAAGUCCGAUGUGAAAGCUCCCGGCUUAACUGGGAAAUUGCAUCGGAAACUGAUCGGCUGGAAGGUGGGAGAGGGUAGCUGAAUUCCCGGUGUAGUGGUGAAAUGCGUAGAUAUCGGGAGGAACACCAGUGGCGAAAGCGGCUACCUGGCCCAUUCUUGACGCUGAGGCGCGAAAGCUAGGGGAGCAAACGGG
RNAcentral lists this ribosomal RNA (253 nucleotides) under uncultured bacterium. RNAcentral's name for it is "partial 16S ribosomal RNA". It matches the Rfam family "Bacterial small subunit ribosomal RNA", at positions 524 to 776 of the family's 1533-position model. The record is from RNAcentral.